This 775-nucleotide ribosomal RNA is filed under the name uncultured Neocallimastigales. Its description in RNAcentral is "partial large subunit ribosomal RNA". It matches the Rfam family "Eukaryotic large subunit ribosomal RNA", at positions 16 to 628 of the family's 3401-position model. Lineage: Eukaryota; Fungi; Neocallimastigomycota; Neocallimastigomycetes; Neocallimastigales. The record is from RNAcentral.
CACGCACACACGCGCGGCAUAUCAAUAAGCGGAGGAAAAGAAACUAACUAGGAUUCCCUUAGUAACGGCGAGUGAAGCGGGAAGAGCUCAAAUUUGAAAUCUUCAAGGUUUUACCUUGACGAAUUGUAGUUUAAAGAAGUGUUUUCUGUUGGAGUUUUGGUAAAAGUUCUUUGGAAUAGGACAUCAUAGAGGGUGAGAAUCCCGUAUUUGACCAUUAUUUCCAACUGUGUGAUACACUUUCAAAGAGUCGGAUUGUUUGGGAAUGCAGUCCAAAAUGGGUGGUAAAUUUCAAUCUAAAGCUAAAUAUUGGCGAGAGACCGAUAGCGAACAAGUACCGUGAGGGAAAGAUGAAAAGAACUUUGAAAAGAGAGUUAAACAGUACGUGAAAUUGUCAAAAGGGAAGCGUUUGACACCAGUGUUGUUUUCUCGAAAAUCAAUUAAAAAUGGUGGGAUGUUGUGUUGUAUUGACUUUAUCAGCUUUCUGCACUUUUUUCCUAUCUUUUUUAAUGCACUUUUCGUUUAACAAGUCAACAUCAAUUUCUUUUGUUGUAAAAGGGUCAUUGGAAGGUGGCUUUCUUUUCGGAGAAAGUGUUUAUAGCCUUUGGCUUCUGCAAUCGGAGAGAUUGAGGUCUGCAGCGUAGAUCCUUCGGGGUUAGAUACAUUUGUGCUAAGUUAUAGCCUUUCAUAGACAACUUGUUGACUAUGAUCAGUCAUGUAGCUUACUCGCUUAUGCUAUUUUACCUACGCUUAGGAUGUUGAACUCUAUCACACACAG